AUUUCGCGAUAUAAACCGAUCACAAACCCUUCACGUACACGUUCAACCAAUAUCUAGACAGAUGUUCGCCGCGACAAUUUCGUCAUCUUGACUACAUCGGACAGUUCACAACCGACAUCCGAUACAUUAAAGGCUUGGACAAUAAUGUAGCCGACGCUUUAUCUCGCAUCGAAGCGAAAGGGAAGUCUGUGGACUACAAAACUCUGCAGGAGAACAACACCGAGGUACGCGACAUCGUCAAGUCCGAUACAUCCGGAUUAUAAUUAAAGAAGAUACGUUUUCCUGAUUACGACGUAUCAGGCGACAUUGUACGACCGUUUAUACCGAAAUCCUUGCGGCACAGCGUAUAGAAUUCAGUCCAGGGACUUUCCCAUUCUGGGAUACGCGCUACGCAAAAACCUGGUGACGACGUGUUUCGUCCAACCCUCAAUAAAUAAAGACAGCCGAAACUGGUCACGACAAUGUAUUCCGUGUCAGCGAUGUAAAGUCACCAGGCACGUAUCCUUACCAACCGGAACAUUCGAAGUGUUAACAGGGAUACGCGCGACCCAAAAACUCGUAAAAUCGCGUUUUGUUUGGCCUGCGCUAAACAAAGAUUGCCAAACAUGGACACGGCAAUGCAUCCCGCGUCAACAAUGUAAAAUAACGAGACACGUAUCAACGCCGACCGGAACAUUCGGAGAGCUCGCAGGACGAUUCGAGCAUAUACAUUUAGACAUUCUCGUCAUGCAAUACUCACAAGGCUGCCGAUAUUGUCUAACAUGUAUCGAUCGUUUUUCACGUUGGCCCGAAGCGAUUCCUAUACCAGAUAUGGAAGCAACGACCGUUGCCUCG
This 834-nucleotide unclassified non-coding RNA is filed under the name Bombus terrestris (buff-tailed bumblebee). Its description in RNAcentral is "misc RNA ENSBTSG00005022709.1". Lineage: Eukaryota; Metazoa; Arthropoda; Insecta; Hymenoptera; Apidae. The record is from RNAcentral.